UUUUUUCUUUUUUUUUUUUAAGACAGAGUCUUGCUCUGUCACCCAGGCUGGAGUGCAGUGGCAUGAUCUUGGCUCACUGUAGCCUCUGCCUCCCGGGUUCAAGUGAUUCUCCUGCCUCAGCCUCCCAAAGAGCUGGGAUUACAAGUGCCCGCCACCAUGACUGACUCAUUUUUGUAUUUUUAGUAGAGACAUAAUUUCACCAUGUUGGCCAGGCUGGUCUUGAACUCCUGGCCUCAAGUGAUAGGCCUGCCUUGGCCUCCCAAAGUGCUGGGAUUACAGGCAUGAGCCACCAUGCUCAGCCUUUUCUGUCUUCUUACAAGGAGGUCAGUUGUGUUGAAUUAGGGCCCACUCCAAUCAGGUGUGACUGCAUCUUCACUUGACUAUAUCUGCAAAGGCCCUAUUUCCAAAAAGGUUGCAUUCAUAGGUGCUAGGGGUUGAGGCUUUAACUUAUCUUUUAAAAUUUUUAUUAUUUUUUUGAGACAGAGUCUUACUCUGUCAUGCAAGCUGGAGUGCAGUGGCAUGAUCUUAGUUCACUGCAACCUUCACCUCCUGGGGUCAAGAAAUUCUCUUACUUCAGCCUCCUGAGUAGCUAGAAUUACAGGCGCCCCCCCUACCCCGCCAUGCUCGGCUAAUUUUCAUAUUUUUAUUAGAGCUGGGAUUUCACCAUGUUGGCCAGGCUGGUCUUGAACUCCUGACCUCAAGUGAUCCACUUGCCUGAAUUUCCUAAAGUGUAACAUAUCUUUUUAGGGGACACAAUUACACCCACAAAAAGUAUUUUCUAGAUAAGGAAGCACUACUUCUUUUUCUUCUGGCAUCGAAUGUCACUGUGGAGAAGUCUGAUGCCAAGUUGGUUUUCUUUGCUUCCUAAGAUACUUGGUUUUUCUGUCUGGCUGCCUAAAGGAUUAUUUCUUUAUCUUUAAAGUCCAGUGAUUUUACGAAGGCAUGUUUUGUGUUGACUGUUCUGGGCCAACACACCCAAGUAUACAGCAUGCACUUUUACAAGCAGGCACAAGUCUUCCUGCAUUUCAAUAAAGAGGUCUUGAAUAAUAGGUAGUUUCCACUCUUGUUUGGCAGGGUGCUCUGGCGCACACCUGUGGCCCCAGCUACUCGAGAGGCC
Molecule: long non-coding RNA, 1117 nt
Filed under: Macaca fascicularis (crab-eating macaque)
Lineage: Eukaryota; Metazoa; Chordata; Mammalia; Primates; Cercopithecidae
Description: lncRNA (ENSMFAG00000055001.1)
Source: RNAcentral